Molecule: ribosomal RNA, 3090 nt
Filed under: marine sediment metagenome
Description: bacterial LSU rRNA
Source: RNAcentral
NNAWGCYRYMWWSWGCNUGAWRRWGGAUGCCUUGGCGUUCGGAGCCGAUGAAGGACGUGGCAGGCUGCGAUAAGCCCCGGUGAGUUGUCAAGCGAACAUUGACCCGGGGAUUUCCGAAUUGGUAAACCAGGCUGGGGUCAUGCCCAGUCACUCCGGUCUGAACACAUAGGGCCGGUAGAGGGAACCGGGGGAAUUGAAACAUCUCAGUACCCCGAGGAAAAGAAAGCAAUAGCGAGACCCUGAGUAGCGGCGAGCGAAACGGGUUCAGCCCAAACCGAUGCGGCGUGACAGGUCGACGCCGUUGCCGUGUCGGUGUUGUGGGACCCUUCAGACGGGACGUCGAUCCCGUCAGGAAGUUACAAACUCUGCAGAUAGGCGAAUCCGCUGGGAAGCGGAGCCAUAGGAGGUAACAGCCCCGUAGCCGAAAUCUGUCAGAGCUUCCGAGGGUGAUCCCAAGUAGCACGGGGCACGUGAAAUCCCGUGUGAAUCAGCGAGGACCACCUCGUAAGGCUAAACACUACCGAACGACCGAUAGCGGACUAGUACCGUGAGGGAAAGGUGAAAAGUACCCCGGCGAGGGGAGUGAAACAGUACCUGAAACCAUUAGCUUACAAGCAGUCGGAGGGAUCCUUGUGGUCCUGACGGCCUGCCUUUUGAAGAAUGAGCCGACGAGUCAUCGGUGUGUGGCGAGGUUAAGUCGAGUGAUGGAGCCGCAGCGAAAGCGAGUCUGAAUAGGGCGUCUAGUCGCAUGCCAUGGACCCGAAGCCAGGUGAUCUAUCCAUGGACAGGGUGAAGCGAGGGUAAGACCUCGUGGAGGCCCGAACCCACCUAGGUUGAAAACUGGGGGGAUGAUCUGUGGAUAGGGGUGAAAGGCCAAGCAAACCUGGCGAUAGCUGGUUCUCCCCGAAAUAGCUUUAGGGCUAGCGUCGUAUGUUCCGCAUUGGGGGUAGAGCACUGAUUGGGCAAGGGGGCCAACAAGCUUACCGACCCCAGUUAAACUCCGAAUCCCAAUGCGCUAAGUACGGCAGUCAGACCAUGGGGGAUAAGCUUCAUGGUCGAAAGGGAAACAGCCCAGACCGUCAGCUAAGGUCCCAAAGUCAGAACUAAGUGGGGAACGAUGUGGAGUUGCCCAAACAGCCAGGAGGUUGGCUUAGAAGCAGCCAUUCCUUUAAAGAGUGCGUAACAGCUCACUGGUCGAGUGAUCCCGCGCGGAUGAUGUAACGGGGCUCAAGUUCUGCACCGAAGCUACGGGUUUUCAUCAAUAACCCAGGCCAAUUCCUUCGGGAAUCGGUCCAGGGGAUGAAAGCGGUAGGGGAGCGUCGUGUGGCCGAUGAAGCGGCGGCGGAAGCCAGCCGUGGAGGCCACUCGAGUGAGAAUGUCGGCAUGAGUAGCGAAUGAGGAGUGAGAAUCUCCUCCGCCGGAUGUCCAAGGUUUCCUGGGGAAGGCUCGUCCGCCCAGGGUUAGUCGGGACCUAAGGUGAGGCCGCGAGGCGUAAUCGAUGGAUAACGGGUUGAUAUUCCCGUACUACUGCAGGCGCGUCCAGGCCGAACCCAACUUGCUAAGGAAAGCCCUUCGGGGCCUACCGACCCAGUUGGUAUUAGGCCAGCGAUGGAGUGACGCGGAAGGGUAAGCAGACCCGGGCGAUGGUUGUCCCGGGGUAAGCGUGUAGGACGAGGUCCAGGCAAAUCCGGACCUCACAAAGUCCGAGGCGCGAUGCCGAGCCGAAAGAGGCGAAGCUGCUGAACGCCCAUGCCGCCUAGAAAAGCUUCUAGCGAGCUCCUGGAGUACCCGUACCCCAAACCAACACAGGUGGACAAGUAGAGAAUACUAAGGCGAGCGAGAUAACUCUGGUUAAGGAACUCGGCAAAAUGGCUCCGUAACUUCGGGAGAAGGAGCGCCCCCGUAGGGUGUAGGACUUCGCGUCCGAAGCCCGAAGGGGUUGCAGAUACCAGGCCCAAGCGACUGUUUACUAAAAACACAGGAGCGUGCGAAGUCGCAAGACGCUGUAUACGCUCUGACGCCUGCCCGGUGCUGGAAGGUCAAGGAGAUGGGUUAGCUCUUAGAGCGAAGCUUUGAACCUAAGCCCCAGUAAACGGCGGCGGUAACUAUAACCGUCCUAAGGUAGCGAAAUUCCUUGUCGGGUAAGUUCCGACCUGCACGAAUGGCGCAACGACUUGGGCGCUGUCUCAACCAGAGGCUCGGCGAAAUUGCAGUGUGAGUAAAGAUGCUCACUACCUGCGACAGGACGGAAAGACCCCGGGACCUUUACUGCAGCUUGACAUUGGAGUUCGUCAUGUGAUGUGUAGGAUAGGUGGGAGACUGUGAAGCGUCGGCGCUAGCCGGCGUGGAGUCAACCUUGAAAUACCACCCCUUGCAUGAUGGUCUUCUAACCUCGGUCCGUUAUCCGGAUCAGGAACAGUGUCUGGUGGGCAGUUUCACUGGGGUGGUGGCCUCCUAAAGUGUAACGGAGGCGCCCAAAGGUUCCCUCAGCCUGGUCGGCAAUCAGGCGUUGAGUGUAAAGGCACAAGGGAGCUUGACUGCGAGACCUACGAGUCGAGCAGGUUCGAAAGAAGGGCUUAGUGAUCCCUCGGCGGCACGUGGGUGCGCCGAGGCCAACGGCUAAAAGGUACCCCGGGGAUAACAGGCUUAUCCCGCCCAAGAGUCCAUAUCGACGGCGGGGGUUGGCACCUCGAUGUCGGCUCGUCUCAUCCUGGGGCUGAAGCAGGUCCCAAGGGUCGGGCUGUUCGCCCGUUAAAGAGGCACGCGAGCUGGGUUUAGAACGUCGUGAGACAGUUCGGUCCCUAUCCGUCGCAGGCGCAGGAGAUUUGAGGAGAGCUGUCCCUAGUACGAGAGGACCGGGAUGGACGUACCUCUGGUGUGCCAGUUGUUCUGCCAAGAGCACGGCUGGUUUGCUACGUACGGAACGGAUAAGCGCUGAAAGCAUCUAAGCGCGAAGCCGCCUCCGAGAUCAGAUCUCCCACCGGAUAAACCGGGUAAGGCCCCUGGUAGAACACCAGGUUGAUAGGCCGGAAGUGGAAGCGCAGCAAUGCGUGCAGCUGACCGGUACUAAUAGGCCGAGGGCUUGAUUUU